This 460-nucleotide ribosomal RNA is filed under the name uncultured bacterium. RNAcentral describes it as "partial 16S ribosomal RNA". It matches the Rfam family "Bacterial small subunit ribosomal RNA", at positions 338 to 795 of the family's 1533-position model. The record is from RNAcentral.
CCUACGGGAGGCAGCAGUGAGGAAUAUUGGUCAAUGGGCGCGAGCCUGAACCAGCCAAGUAGCGUGAAGGAUGACUGCCCUACGGGUUGUAAACUUCUUUUAUAAAGGAAUAAAGUGAGGCACGUGUGCCUUUUUGUAUGUACUUUAUGAAUAAGGAUCGGCUAACUCCGUGCCAGCAGCCGCGGUAAUACGGAGGAUUCGAGCGUUAUCCGGAUUUAUUGGGUUUAAAGGGAGCGUAGAUGGUGUGUCAAGUCUGUUGUGAAAGUUUGCGGCUCAACCCUAGAAUUGCAAUUGAUACUGGCAGUCUUGAGUACAGUAGAGGUAAGCGGAAUUCGUGGUGUAGCGGUGAAAUGCGUAGAUAUCACGAAGAACACCGAUGGCGAAGGCAGCCUUCCGGCGCCCUACUGACGCUGAGGCACGAAAGUGCGGGGAUCGAACAGGAUUAGAUACCCUAGUAGUC